This 545-nucleotide ribosomal RNA is filed under the name uncultured bacterium. Its description in RNAcentral is "bacterial SSU rRNA". It matches the Rfam family "Bacterial small subunit ribosomal RNA", at positions 777 to 1319 of the family's 1533-position model. The record is from RNAcentral.
AAUAGAUACCCUGGUAGUCCACGCCGUAAAUGGUGAGUGCUAAGUGUUAGGGGGGUUUCCGCCCCUUAGUGCUGCAGCUAACGCAUUAAGCACUCCGCCUGGGGAGUACGGUCGCAAGACUGAAACUCAAAGGAAUUGACGGGGGCCCGCACAAGCGGUGGAGCAUGUGGUUUAAUUCAAAGCAACGCGAAGAACCUUACCAGGUCUUGACAUCCCAUUGACCGCUAUGGAGACAUAGUUUUCCCUUCGGGGACAGUGGUGACAGGUGGUGCAUGGUUGUCGUCAGCUCGUGUCGUGAGAUGUUGGGUUAAGUCCCGCAACGAGCGCAACCCUUGUUCUUAGUUGCCAUCAUUUAGUUGGGCACUCUAAGGAGACUGCCGGUGACAAACCGGAGGAAGGUGGGGAUGACGUCAAAUCAUCAUGCCCCUUAUGACCUGGGCUACACACGUGCUACAAUGGACGGUACAAACGGUUGCCAACCCGCGAGGGGGAGCUAAUCCGAUAAAACCGUUCUCAGUUCGGAUUGUAGGCUGCAACUCGCCUAC